CCCGCCCCACUAGGGCAGCCAAUGAAAAAGUCGGACAGGAACAGGGCCUCUUGCCAUUGGGGGAGCUGCGACUCUGCCCUUCAAAGUGAAUCUGGAGAUUCUACAGCA
RNAcentral lists this small nucleolar RNA (108 nucleotides) under Sorex araneus (European shrew). Its description in RNAcentral is "Small nucleolar RNA SNORA68 (ENSSARG00000018964.1)". The record is from RNAcentral. Lineage: Eukaryota; Metazoa; Chordata; Mammalia; Eulipotyphla; Soricidae.